RNAcentral lists this ribosomal RNA (200 nucleotides) under uncultured bacterium. RNAcentral describes it as "partial 16S ribosomal RNA". It matches the Rfam family "Bacterial small subunit ribosomal RNA", at positions 1293 to 1500 of the family's 1533-position model. The record is from RNAcentral.
UCGGAUUGGAGGCUGAAACCCGCCUCCAUGAAGUUGGAUUCGCUAGUAAUCGCGCAUCAGCCAUGGCGCGGUGAAUACGUUCCCGGGCCUUGUACACACCGCCCGUCAAGCCAUGGGAGCCGGGGGUGCCUGAAGUUCGUGACCGCAAGGAGCGACCUAGGGCAAAACUGGUGACUGGGGCUAAGUCGUAACAAGGUAGC